CUUAUGUUCUAAUGGAGAAGACAACAUGUACAAACAUAAAAAAGUCAGAAGAGCUGUCAGAGGCCAUUGCUAAUCUCCUGAUGAGUACUACCAGUUUCACAUUUCCAGAAAACAUAGACCCCUGAACUUGAUGUCCAUCCCUAAUAGAAUUCUGGAAAGGAUUACUUAGUGGAUGGCAUAUGAGCAUUUAUAAAGGAAAGUGGUAAUUAGUAGGAAUCAGAUUAAGUUUAUUAAAAGCAAACCAUGAUAGCCUAACAUUAUUUUCUUUUCCUAUAGUGUUACUGGAUUGGUAAAUCAGAGGAAUGCCAUAGACAUAGUAGUCUGGAUUUAGAUGCUCCUGAUUUCAUUGAAUUCCUUGGAAAAAGUGAUAAAGAAGCUUCAAUCCUUGGCAUGCCCUGCUUCCUGCCACAGAACCUCUCAGUUCUCAAGGUGCUUAAGGACAAUACUUGCCAUCAUGUCACUUGCUGAAGGCAAUUUGUUCAGCCCUAGGAAAGAAAAUCCAGAAUUUGAGCAGGACUGCCUGAAGAAAAAACUGAAUGGAAAGAAUGGUUUUUAGGAAGAAAUUGUUGGGUCUACAGGUGGACUCCCUAAAAUUCAAAGCCAAAGCCCUAACAUGGGAAAUCUUGAUGAAGGCCUUCCAGUAAUGAUGUGAUUGGGCAACUCAUCACUCAGGGUAGCUUGAUGGCUCAGAAACCUUUGGGAUAAAGAAGGAAAUCCAAGCAAGAAAUUGUGAAACUGAGAAGAUAUGAUCUACAAUGGAAAAUUGGGAAAGCUGUCUGAAUCCAAAUGCAUUGGUUCUACUGUGACUGAUGAUCAAAGAUGAUCAGAUUAUAGAAACGCCAUUGAAUUGGUUCCAUUUUGCCAAUUUGUUUUCCUCCUUCUAGUUUCAUCUACACAUUUUCUUGAGAUGAUCUGGCUCAAUUGUAUGUUAUGACUAGCUUUCUUCAAACUCCUUUUCCUCUAUCCCAUUCUUGCAUUAUUUUGUAACACAAUGUGACUCAAUUAUCUUCCACCAUACU
Molecule: long non-coding RNA, 1019 nt
Organism: Vombatus ursinus (common wombat)
Lineage: Eukaryota; Metazoa; Chordata; Mammalia; Diprotodontia; Vombatidae
Exons: 6
Source: RefSeq, a predicted model, not a curated record